UGAACGCUGGCGGCGUGCCUAUUACAUGCAAGUCUAGCGAACGGACGAGAAGCUUGCUUCUCUGAUGUUAGCGGCGGACGGGUGAGUAACACGUGGAUAACCUACCUAUAAGACUGGGAUAACUUCGGGAAACCGGAGCUAAUACCGGAUAAUAUUUUCAACCGCAUGGUUCAAACGUGAAAGAUGGUAUUGCUGUCAUUUAUAGACGGAUCCGCACUGCAUUAGCCAGUUGGUAAGGUAACGGUUUACCAAGGCAACGAUGCAUAGCCGACCUGAGAGUGAGAUUGACACCACUGGAGAUGAGACGCGAUCCUGACACCGACGGGAGGCAGCAGAAAGGAAGCUUCCGCAAUGGGCGAAAGCGUGACGAAGACACGGAGCGAGGGUGAAGAAAGUCUACGCAUCGUAAAACUCUAUUAUUGGAGAAGAACAUAUGUGUGAGUAACUAUGCAAAUCUUAACGAUACCUACUCAGAAGGCCACGGCUAACUACGG
RNAcentral lists this ribosomal RNA (494 nucleotides) under uncultured bacterium. RNAcentral's name for it is "partial 16S ribosomal RNA". It matches the Rfam family "Bacterial small subunit ribosomal RNA", at positions 30 to 506 of the family's 1533-position model. The record is from RNAcentral.